Molecule: long non-coding RNA, 919 nt
Organism: Xenia sp. Carnegie-2017
Lineage: Eukaryota; Metazoa; Cnidaria; Anthozoa; Malacalcyonacea; Xeniidae
Exons: 5
Source: RefSeq, a predicted model, not a curated record
UCGAUUUAACAGAAUGGUCAAUGAAAAAUGCGUUGAACGCAAUUCUUAAAGAGUUGGAGUUUCGAGAAGCUCACACACCGAUCGGCGAGAAAACCAAGAGACAGGAUGGGGAGAAACAACGAGAAACGUCGCGACAAAAACAUAUGGGGUCAGCAUCGACACUGCACGCGAAGCAUGAGAGUUGCAACGAGGUGUCAAUAAACGGUAAAGCGAAAAGAAAAUGCGUUUAUUGUCUCGGGGAACACAAUCCAGAGGAAUGUAAGAAAAUAACCAAGAAUGUGGAAUCUUUGUUCAUGGUUUUUGAUAUAAGAAUUCGAUGAAAAAUUUUUUACUAGCGUUGAUUUAUCUCAGGAAAUAACUUUAAGAAAUUAUUGCAUGUGUCAUGUUUUUCAUGCAUUCUUUUGCUGAGGUAUUAUGGUGGGCCCUAAGGGUGUCAUCUGCGACGCUCAGUGUGUACUCUCUCAUCCCCACCCACCCCCAACGUUCCCCCUCUCUUUGUGACGUCCUGCCAUUUGCCUCAAAUAUUUCAUUUACAUCAUUUCCGUUGCCCAUAUUGGUAAAUUUCCUUCAUUUGUCUUCUUUUGUGAAGUGCUUUAAUAAUACUGUCGUGUAUCGUGGAUAUUUUUUACAUGUAGAAAACACUUUGUAUUUUCUCCUAACUUUCUUGAUGCUAGCAUAGGUGGUGAGAGUUGAUAUGUGGUGAUAUCAAGCGAUCAUAAGUUCAGUGGAGAUUAUGUUGAAUUUUGCAAGUGUAGAUAUUACAAAGCAAGCAAUUAUUGAUCGCUUGUUGGAUGGAGUAAAGCAAUGUCAGGUACGAUUUGGUAGUACAACCGAAUUGGCUUCUGAGAAGGAUAGCAGAAUCUCUUGUCUUUGUGAGCAAUGGAACAUUGUUCUUCAAUUUGGCAUUAAAUCCACAAAA